GGGCCCGCACAAGCGGAGGAGCAUGUGGUUUAAUUCGAUGAUACGCGAGGAACCUUACCAAGGCUUAAAUGUAAUAUGACCGGUUGAGAGAUCAACCUUUUUUCGAACAGAUUACAAGGUGCUGCAUGGUUGUCGUCAGCUCGUGCCGUGAGGUGUCGGGUUAAGUCCCAUAACGAGCGCAACCCCUAUUUUUAGUUACCAGCGAGUAAUGUCGGGAACUCUAGAAAAACUGCCUGUGCAAACAGAGAGGAAGGUGGGAUGACGUCAAUCAUCACGGCCUUAUGUCUUGGGCUACACACGUGCUACAAUGGUUACUACAAUGUGAUGCCAUCUGGUGACAGGAG
Molecule: ribosomal RNA, 344 nt
Filed under: uncultured bacterium
Lineage: Bacteria
Description: bacterial SSU rRNA
Rfam family: Bacterial small subunit ribosomal RNA
Source: RNAcentral